UCUUCCUAUCUGUUGCAACCAUGACAAGCCACUACCUUACCAUCGACAGUUGAUAGGGCAGAAAUUUGAAUGAAACAUCGCCGGCGAAAAGUCCAAUGUCAUGUGUGUACACGACCAUAGCUGU
Molecule: long non-coding RNA, 124 nt
Organism: Xenia sp. Carnegie-2017
Lineage: Eukaryota; Metazoa; Cnidaria; Anthozoa; Malacalcyonacea; Xeniidae
Exons: 4
Source: RefSeq, a predicted model, not a curated record